GCGGACGUAGUUUAACGGUAAAACACCUUGGCUACCCACCCCGGCGUUGCGGGUUCGAAUCCCGUCGUCCGCU
This 73-nucleotide transfer RNA is filed under the name Mesorhizobium sp. RNAcentral describes it as "tRNA-OTHER". It matches the Rfam family "tRNA". Rfam says of the family: Transfer RNA (tRNA) molecules are approximately 80 nucleotides in length. Their secondary structure includes four short double-helical elements and three loops (D, anti-codon, and T loops). The record is from RNAcentral. Lineage: Bacteria; Pseudomonadati; Pseudomonadota; Alphaproteobacteria; Hyphomicrobiales; Phyllobacteriaceae.